This 561-nucleotide long non-coding RNA is filed under the name Ananas comosus (pineapple). Its description in RNAcentral is "long non-coding RNA (ACOM_LNC012452)". The record is from RNAcentral. Lineage: Eukaryota; Viridiplantae; Streptophyta; Magnoliopsida; Poales; Bromeliaceae.
UAGAUCCCACAACUCUUGCUAAAUGAAGGAGGUUGUAAUUUAUUAUAAGAAACAAAAUAGACUUUCAUUUUCAUGACAUACAUAGGAGAGAAUGAGGCUUUUGCGUGAGUUUUUAUGGUUUACGAUUAUAUUAGGGUUAAAAUGGGUGGAAUUAGACGUUAUAUGCGGAGGGAAAGCAAAGGGUUGGGCCUUUUGGAUGAUUUCUAGAUUUACGGUUUAGAUAGGGUUAAAUUAGACGUUAUAUGUGGAGGGAAGACGAAGGGUUGGUUUCAUAAGAUAAAAGUCCAAAAGUAAAGAAUUUGAUAUUUAAUGCUAUUAUUGCUUAGUGGUUCAAUGAAUUUACAUCGUCCAUAUUAAACUGAAUGAAUUUAUUAGCAACAAACUCAAAUAGCAGAUAAAUAGAGAGAGUUAAUUAUUUUGUUAAUUUGAUAUUUAGAUAGAAAAAAUAAUUUUAUUUAUUUAUUUAUUUAUUUAUGAUGAUGAAAGAAUGAAGGGUAACUUGCCACAUGACAAAAAAUAUUGUACUUUCAUUUAGAUUUAUAGAUUACUCUUUCUCUCUUA